This 1381-nucleotide long non-coding RNA is filed under the name Gallus gallus (chicken). RNAcentral describes it as "lncRNA (ENSGALG00010019496.1)". Lineage: Eukaryota; Metazoa; Chordata; Aves; Galliformes; Phasianidae. The record is from RNAcentral.
CCCCCACCCCCUGCAGCACGGAACCCCCCGGGUGCCAGGGACUGAUUUCCAGCCUCACUAAAGCAGCAAUGCAAUACUGGAGAGCAACAGGCGAUCCCCCACUCCAGUAUUUACGUGCUGCUAGAGCACUGCUGACAGCUCUCCAGCCCCGUGCAUCUCCCCACAGCCUCUAACCCCCACCCAUCCACCCCCCAAAUCAGAGGGAGAUGGGAAAAGGCUGAACAUGGAGCAAUAUUGCUCUGGAGGUGCUGCUCCACCCGGGAUAGACUCAAAUUGCACAGGAGGAGCAGAGAGCCCUUCCUGCACAACCACCCCACAGACAGGUGUACCUGCACAUCCCCGUGCACCUGAGCUAAGGGGUAUGGGGACAUGUCAGCCUCCACCCCUAUGGUAACCAGAAGCUCACUUUCUUGUCUUAUCCUUGAGGUAAUGAGGCAGCCCAGAAUGGUCUGUAUCUCCUUGUCCCUACAAACCAUGAUGUGCUGCUACAUCUCCUCAAAGCCCACUGAAUGUUGGCAUUCCAAAUGGUAUUUUGGUUAUUAUUAUUGUUAUUAUUAUUUUUAACUCAUGACAUAAGGCACUGAUGAACACUCUACACGAAGACAUGAACAUGCAUGCAUUACCACCUCGGGACUUUUGUGUUGCUUUGGGUUUUUUCCUUCCCGGUGCUAUCAGCCUGCAACUACAAAGAACAAGCAGUUACACAGUGCAGACAGAAAUACCCCAUUCCCCCACCCCAAACCCACAGUGCUGGGGCAUGGCACAGCUGCACCCCCAGAGCUUGUGAGGGGAAUGAUCCACUGUCUUUCAUUCUACCCUUAGGGGUUGCAGUGCAUCAGCUGUUGGCCAGGAAUCACAGCGCCAGCAGCUGAAUGCACAGCUUGGCAGGACAGAGCUGCCUGCAUGUCCUUAAACUGCUGGAGGGAAAGGGAGGGAAGGAAAGAAAGAGAGAAGGGAGGGAAGGAGGGAAAGAAGCUGGGAGAUCUGUGUUUUUCCUAUAGCUGACAUGAUGCUCAUGUACUUUUGGAAUGAACCAACCAUCUGCAACCAGAAAACAAAGCUCCAUCCCUCCAUCACUCACUGUGCAGGGCAGAGGCUGAGGCUGCAGCACAGAGCGCCCAGACCUGUGCAGACAGCCCAGACUUUUGUGUUUCCUCUCAGUUUUUGUUUUAUGUCAUGUGACAACUUCCUUCAAUUCAUUUUCCCUAAAAGCAGCGUCACAGCAGCACGGGACGACGGCAGCAGCCAGGCCUGUCCCACAGGGAGCUCAGCCCACACCUCUCCCCGUGCUGCUCUGCCCCUUUAGCAAACCAAAGAACAGGAUUUCAAGAGCCCUCCCAGCCCGUGCCAGGUUAUUGGAAACAGCCAAUUAAAUAUCUGC